Long non-coding RNA from Photinus pyralis (common eastern firefly), 1012 nucleotides. RefSeq lists it as uncharacterized. The record is from RefSeq and is a predicted model, not a curated record. The transcript is spliced from 3 exons. NCBI's taxonomy places the organism in Eukaryota, Metazoa, Arthropoda, Insecta, Coleoptera, Lampyridae.
AACUUUGUUAUAUGUAAAUGUAAGCUAGGGCCAUAUAUCUUAUUUACGUAAACGAGACAGGUUGGGAGCACAUAUAAGUAAAGUUAUCACAAAUAUCGUUGGUCUAGCGCACAAAGGUGCUAAGUAUCAAUUAAAAUAAGUUUUGUUUUUGAACGAAUUAUUUUUUUUUUGUAAACUGUACACAACUGUUUGAUGAUACUUUGAAUAAACCCUUAACUUCUUCAUUACCUAAUGUAUUAAACUCAUGUUGCACUAAAUUCCAAAAAUCGAAUUAAAAGUAGCAUAUUCCAUUUAAAAGAAUUCAGUUAGGUAGCGCCCCCUGGCGAUAGCCCAUUUCAUUUAAAAACUUUUUCACAAAAUAUUUCGCCUUCGAUAUAGCCCUAGCUUACAUUGAUAACAAAAUUGUAAUAAUUUUAAAAUCUGCAUUCGUUUCCGAGAUAUAAAAUUUCAAAACCCAAAAAUCCAAAUUCACCCUUUUAUUCAGAGCUAUCCACUAAUUUCUUAACUUAACCUUAAUACCAAACAAAUAUAAAAUACCUAUUUUAGAGUGACUAAGAUCGAAAAUGAAUCAAAAACAGUAAGAGGGUUGAGAAAUGUAUAAGGAAAGCAUAAUAGUUGAAACUAUACUGCUGAAGAAAAGGAAACUAGGAAAAGACAGGCAGUUGACAGUAGUGAAACGAACUAAAAAUAAGUUUCAAUUAACCGUAAACAAUAUAAUUGGAACCGGAACCGAAACCAAAAAUUACUGAAGCCACAGGACCGAAACCCUUAACAAUAAUUCUACCUAAAUAGGUCGGAACCGGAACCUAUAUUUCGUAUGGGUUCCAACUCCUGCCUCCUGAUAGAAGGCUACGGCAAUGAGAGAGUGAAGGAGAGGAGAGUGAAGGAGAGGAGAGUGAAGGAAAGGAGAGUGAAGGAAAGGAGAGUGAAGGAGAGGAGAGUGAAGGAGAGGAGAGUGAAGGAGAGGAGAGUAAAGGAGUGGAGGGUGAGGGGUCGUAGCUGUUUGCAUAUC